Long non-coding RNA from Melospiza georgiana, 276 nucleotides. RefSeq lists it as uncharacterized. The record is from RefSeq and is a predicted model, not a curated record. NCBI's taxonomy places the organism in Eukaryota, Metazoa, Chordata, Aves, Passeriformes, Passerellidae. The transcript is spliced from 3 exons.
AAACAACUGAAUUUUAAACCAGACUCAGCAACUAACGUGACAUUGUGAAGGACACACCAGCACUUAUCAUCUCUCCAGAUGAGUUGCUUGUACUUCUGGAAAGAUGAAUCCAGCAGAUUGGUGUGUACAGGGAAGAAAGGAAAUGACACGGAGCUGUUGCACAUUGUUAUCGAGAACUGAAACGCAGUGAGAUGGAGGAUCCACACGGCAGUGCUCAGAGGCCUGAAAAUUCAUUUGAAAAGAGCAGGAAGUUAAUUCUGCAGAGGUUAUUCCUUC